This 851-nucleotide ribosomal RNA is filed under the name uncultured archaeon. RNAcentral's name for it is "bacterial SSU rRNA". It matches the Rfam family "Archaeal small subunit ribosomal RNA", at positions 492 to 1341 of the family's 1478-position model. The record is from RNAcentral.
UCGGGAUAAUUAUCUGGGCUUAAAGUGUCCGUAGCCGGUUUAGUAAGUUCCUGGUAAAACCGGGCAGCUUAACUGUCCGUAUGCUAGGAAUACUGCUAUGCUAGAGGGCGGGAGAGGUCUGAGGUACUACAGGGGUAGGGGUGAAAUCUUAUAAUCCUUGUAGGACCACCAGUGGCGAAAGCGUCAGACUGGAACGCGCCUGACGGUGAGGGACGAAAGCCAGGGGAGCGAACCGGAUUAGAUACCCGGGUAGUCCUGGCCGUAAACGAUGCAUACUAGGCAAUGGUGCGGCCAUGAGCCGCAUCAGUACCGUAGGGAAACCGUUAAGUGUGCCGCCUGGGAAGUACGGUCGCAAGGCUAAAACUUAAAGGAAUUGGCGGGGGAGCACCACAAGGGGUGAAGCCUGCGGUUCAAUUGGACUCAACGCCGGGAAACUUACCAGGGGAGACAGCAGAAUGACAGUCAGGUUGACGACCUUACUCGACGAGCUGAGAGGAGGUGCAUGGCCGUCGCCAGUUCGUGCUGUGAGGUAUCCUGUUAAGUCAGGCAACGAACGAGAUCCGCGCCUUUAUUUGCCAUCAAGAAGUCACGACUUCGUUGGGAACACUAAAGGGACCGCCGUCGAUAAGACGGAGGAAGGAGCGGGCAAAGGCAGGUCAGUAUGCCCCGAAACCCAUGGGCUACACGCGGGCUGCAAUGGUGCGAACAAUGGGCUGUAACUCCGAAAGGAGAAACCAAUCCCGAAAUCGCAUCUCAGUGGGGAUUGUCGACUGUAACUCGUUGACAUGAACGUGGAAUCCCUAGUAAUCGCGUGUCACCAUCGCGCGGUGAAUACGUCUCUGCUCCUUGCA